CAUAGGGCCUGUGGAUCAAAUUGCCAAGGAACCACCACUGCUAGCUGUCGAUAAUCAACCAAUUACCUACCCUUUAGCUAUAAUCGAUGGCAGAGUUAUGAAAAAAGCAGGUAAACUCACCAAACAAUUUCUGGUACAGUGGAGCGGAACGUGGCCAGAGGAUGCGUCGUGGAUUGACGCCGACCUGCUUCAACAGACCUACCCGGUUAUCCAGCUCGAGGACGAUCUGUUUUUUGGAGGAGCCACGGAUGUAAAAAGACAGAUUCCCCACCAACAGGUAGCUGAGGAUGCGCGGAAGAUUAUCGAGAGGGAAGUCACGCCGGCGAGGGAAGAUCCAGAACUCGACGGAAACCCCCUUUCCAAUCUAGGGAUCCGGCCGACCCGAAUCCGAAACCCGCCUAGCUGGAUCCGCGACUACGAAGUUAGUCACGACGGUUGAGAUUAUUGGGAGUUUUAUCGAAUCGUCCUUAAGUAAUUUUAAAUUUACAAGUAGG
This 494-nucleotide long non-coding RNA is filed under the name Zostera marina. RNAcentral's name for it is "long non-coding RNA (ZMAR_LNC003536)". The record is from RNAcentral. Lineage: Eukaryota; Viridiplantae; Streptophyta; Magnoliopsida; Alismatales; Zosteraceae.